AUUGAACGCUGGCGGCGUGCUUAACACAUGCAAGUCGAGCGGUAAGGCCCUUUCGGGGGUACGACGAGCGGCGAACGGGUGAGUAACACGUGGGUGACCUGCCCUUAGCUCUGGGAUAAGCCUGGGAAACUGGGUCUAAUACCGGAUAUGACUCCAUGACGCAUGUUGUGGGGUGGAAAGCCUUGUGCGGCUAGGGAUGGGCCCGCGGUCUAUCAGCUUGUUGGUGGGGUGAUGGCCACCAAGGCGACGACGGGUAGCCGGCCUGAGAGGGCGACCGGCCACACUGGGACUGAGACACGGCCCAGACUCCUACGGGAGGCAGCAGUGGGGAAUCUUGCGCAAUGGGCGAAAGCCUGACGCAGCGACGCCGCGUGAGGA
RNAcentral lists this ribosomal RNA (378 nucleotides) under uncultured bacterium. RNAcentral's name for it is "bacterial SSU rRNA". It matches the Rfam family "Bacterial small subunit ribosomal RNA", at positions 28 to 407 of the family's 1533-position model. The record is from RNAcentral.